This 247-nucleotide ribosomal RNA is filed under the name uncultured archaeon. RNAcentral's name for it is "partial 16S ribosomal RNA". It matches the Rfam family "Archaeal small subunit ribosomal RNA", at positions 691 to 937 of the family's 1478-position model. The record is from RNAcentral.
CCGACGGUGAGGGGCGAAAGCUGGGGGAGCAAACCGGAUUAGAUACCCGGGUAGUCCCAGCUGUAAACGAUGCGCGUUAGGUGUGUCAGUGACCACGUGUCACUGAUGUGCCGAAGGGAAACCGUGAAACGCGCCGCCUGGGGAGUACGGUUGCAAGGCUGAAACUUAAAGGAAUUGGCGUGGGAGCACCACAACGGGUGGAGCCUGCGGUUUAAUCGGACUCAACGCCGGAAAUCUCACCGGAUAA